This 460-nucleotide ribosomal RNA is filed under the name uncultured bacterium. RNAcentral's name for it is "partial 16S ribosomal RNA". It matches the Rfam family "Bacterial small subunit ribosomal RNA", at positions 338 to 795 of the family's 1533-position model. The record is from RNAcentral.
CCUACGGGGGGCAGCAGUGAGGAAUAUUGGUCAAUGGGCGCGAGCCUGAACCAGCCAAGUCGCGUGAGGGAGGACGGCCCUACGGGUUGUAAACCUCUUUUGCCGGGGAGCAACGGGCGCCACGUGUGGCGUCACUGAGAGUACCCGGAGAAAAAGCAUCGGCUAACUCCGUGCCAGCAGCCGCGGUAAUACGGAGGAUGCGAGCGUUAUCCGGAUUUAUUGGGGUUAAAGGGUGCGUAGGCGGAUCGUUAAGUCAGUGGUCAAAUUGAGGGGCUCAACCCCUUCCCGCCAUUGAAACUGGGGGUUGUGGGGGGGAGAGAAGUAUGCGGAAUGCGGGGUGUAGCGGUGAAAUGCAUAGAUAUCACGCAGAACCCCGAUUGCGAAGGCAGCAUGCCGGCUUCCGACUGACGCUGAAGCACGAAAGCGUGGGGAUCGAACAGGAUUAGAUACCCUUGUAGUC